GUGUGUGAAGCUUUGCUGAAGCUCCCCAGUCUCUGGGACUGGAUGGGAACUCAGCAACUGAGGAUCUACCCAGGAACAUGUCAGUGCUACUGUUGUACUGACUGGGUGCAGCUCUGCCAUGAGUCGGUGUGAGGACAGAGAGGAGGGAGGCCGUCCCUCUGAAAGCCCUCUGUGUGGGGACCAUGAGAGCCAGAGCACAGCUCCCAGGAGGCGGCAGCAGAGACCUGAACCCAGCUGUUUGUCCACGAAGAGUGACGGGUCUAUGGGUCAUCCUAUAACCUUUAAAUCUGAACGU
Molecule: long non-coding RNA, 295 nt
Organism: Monopterus albus (swamp eel)
Lineage: Eukaryota; Metazoa; Chordata; Actinopteri; Synbranchiformes; Synbranchidae
Exons: 3
Source: RefSeq, a predicted model, not a curated record